AUGAACGCUGGCGGCGUGCCUAACACAUGCACGUCGCACGGAGUCCAGCCUUUAAGACCUUCGGGUCAAAGAGGGGAAGACUGAGUGGCGGACGGGUGAGUAACACGUGGGCAACCUGGCUCAUAGAGGGGGAUAACAGAGAGAAAUUUCUGCUAAUACCGCAUAAGCACACACUGCCGCAUGGCAGAGGGUGAAAAGAGAAUCGCUAUGAGAUGGACCCGCGUCUGAUUAGCCAGUUGGCAGGGUAAGAGCCUACCAAAGCGACGAUCAGUAGCCGAUCUGAGAGGAUGAACGGCCACAUUGGGACUGAGACACGGCCCAAACUCCUACGGGAGGCAGCAGUGGGGGAUAUUGCACAAUGGGGGGAACCCUGAUGCAGCGACGCCGCGUGAGUGAAGAAGUAUUUCGGUAUGUAAAGCUCUAUCAGCAGGGAAGAUAAUGACAGUACCUGAAUAAGAAGCCCCGGCUAACUACGUG
Molecule: ribosomal RNA, 477 nt
Filed under: uncultured bacterium
Lineage: Bacteria
Description: partial 16S ribosomal RNA
Rfam family: Bacterial small subunit ribosomal RNA
Source: RNAcentral